GGGUCGUUAGCUCAGUUGGUAGAGCAGCGGACUCUUAAUCCGUAGGUCGAGCGUUCGAACCGCUCACGACCCACCA
This 76-nucleotide transfer RNA is filed under the name Eikenella corrodens. RNAcentral's name for it is "tRNA-Lys". It matches the Rfam family "tRNA". Rfam says of the family: Transfer RNA (tRNA) molecules are approximately 80 nucleotides in length. Their secondary structure includes four short double-helical elements and three loops (D, anti-codon, and T loops). The record is from RNAcentral. Lineage: Bacteria; Pseudomonadati; Pseudomonadota; Betaproteobacteria; Neisseriales; Neisseriaceae.